RNAcentral lists this unclassified non-coding RNA (373 nucleotides) under soil metagenome. RNAcentral describes it as "partial contains internal transcribed spacer 2 and large subunit ribosomal RNA". The stretch from base 1 to 119 matches the Rfam family "5.8S ribosomal RNA", at positions 35 to 154 of the family's 154-position model. The record is from RNAcentral.
GAUGAAGACGUAGCGAAAUGCGAUAAUUGAUGUGAAUUGCAGAAUUCCGUGAAUCAUCGAGUCUUUGAACGCACAUUGCGCCUCAUGGCAUUCCAUGAGGCAUGCCCAUCUCAGCGUUAGAAAAUAUUCUCAAAUUUUAGUUUUGUGCUAAAAUUUGGAUCAUGUCAAGGAAGCUAUUACUAUUAUUGUGAUCGCUCUUUGGAAAUUGAUAGGUCUUUGAGUUGCUACUCAUAGAACGUGAUGAAUCUUUCUUCGUUCUAUUGUAAUUCACUCUGGUAGUCCUAAAACUUGUAUGCCUGUGGCAUAUCUUGUAAUUUGACCUGAGAUUGGGUAGGGAUACCCGCUGAACUUAAGCAUAUCAAUAAGCGGAGGA